RNAcentral lists this ribosomal RNA (321 nucleotides) under uncultured bacterium. RNAcentral's name for it is "bacterial SSU rRNA". It matches the Rfam family "Bacterial small subunit ribosomal RNA", at positions 470 to 789 of the family's 1533-position model. The record is from RNAcentral.
UGACGGUACCUGACUAAGAAGCCCCGGCUAACUACGUGCCAGCAGCCGCGGUAAUACGUAGGGGGCAAGCGUUAUCCGGAUUUACUGGGUGUAAAGGGAGCGCAGGCGGUAACGCAAGCCAGAGGUGAAAACCCGGGGCUCAACCCCGAGGAUUGCCUUUGGAACUGUGGAACUGGAGUGCUGGAGGGGCAGGCGGAAUUCCUGGUGUAGCGGUGAAAUGCGUAGAUAUCAGGAGGAACGCCGGUGGCGAAGGCGGCCUGCUGGACAGUAACUGACGCUGAGGCUCGAAAGCGUGGGGAGCAAACAGGAUUAGAUACCCUG